Molecule: transfer RNA, 73 nt
Filed under: candidate division MSBL1 archaeon SCGC-AAA259O05
Lineage: Archaea; Methanobacteriati; Methanobacteriota
Description: candidate divison MSBL1 archaeon SCGC-AAA259O05 tRNA
Rfam family: tRNA
About the family: Transfer RNA (tRNA) molecules are approximately 80 nucleotides in length. Their secondary structure includes four short double-helical elements and three loops (D, anti-codon, and T loops).
Source: Rfam by way of RNAcentral
GCCCUGGUAGCUCAGCCGGCAGAGCGCGUCCAUGGUAAGGACGAGGUCGCGGGUUCGAUCCCCGCCUAGGGCU